Molecule: transfer RNA, 73 nt
Filed under: Paramuricea clavata
Lineage: Eukaryota; Metazoa; Cnidaria; Anthozoa; Malacalcyonacea; Plexauridae
Rfam family: tRNA
About the family: Transfer RNA (tRNA) molecules are approximately 80 nucleotides in length. Their secondary structure includes four short double-helical elements and three loops (D, anti-codon, and T loops). Further hydrogen bonds mediate the characteristic L-shaped molecular structure. tRNAs have two regions of fundamental functional importance: the anti-codon, which is responsible for specific mRNA codon recognition, and the 3' end, to which the tRNAs corresponding amino acid is attached (by aminoacyl-tRNA synthetases). tRNAs cope with the degeneracy of the genetic code in two manners: having more than one tRNA (with a specific anti-codon) for a particular amino acid; and 'wobble' base-pairing, i.e. permitting non-standard base-pairing at the 3rd anti-codon position.
Source: Rfam by way of RNAcentral
GGCCUCGUAGCUCAGUUGGUAGAGCAUUGGACUAGUAUCCCAAAGGUCGCGGGUUCGAUUCCCACCGUGGUCA